GAUGAACGCUGGCGGCGUGCCCAAUACAUGCAAGUCGAGCGAACGGACGAGAAGCUUGCUUCUCUGAUGUUAGCGGCGGACGGGUGAGUAACACGUGGAUAACCUACCUAUAAGACUGGGAUAACUUCGGGAAACCGGAGCUAAUACCGGAUAAUAUUUUGAACCGCAUGGUUCAAAAGUGAAAGACGGUCUUGCUGUCACUUAUAGAUGGAUCCACGCUGCAUUAGCUAGUUGGUAAGGUAACGGCUUACCAAGGCAACGAUGCAUAGCCGACCUGAGAGGGUGAUCGGCCACACUGGAACUGAGACACGGUCCAGACUCCUACGGGAGGCAGCAGUAGGGAAUCUUCCGCAAUGGGCGAAACCCUGACGGAGCAACGCCGCGUGAGUGAUGAAGGUCUUCGGAUCGUAAAACUCUGUUAUUAGGGAAGAACAUAUGUGUAAGUAACUGUGCACAUCUUGACGGUACCUAAUCAGAAAGCCACGGCUAACUACGUG
Molecule: ribosomal RNA, 497 nt
Filed under: uncultured bacterium
Lineage: Bacteria
Description: partial 16S ribosomal RNA
Rfam family: Bacterial small subunit ribosomal RNA
Source: RNAcentral